GAUGAACGCUGGCGGCGUGCCUAAUACAUGCAAGUCGAGCGAACAGACGAGGAGCUUGCUCCUCUGACGUUAGCGGCGGACGGGUGAGUAACACGUGGAUAACCUACCUAUAAGACUGGGAUAACUUCGGGAAACCGGAGCUAAUACCGGAUAACAUGUUGAACCGCAUGGUUUAACAGUGAAAGACGGUCUUGCUGUCACUUAUAGAUGGAUCCGCGCCGCAUUAGCUAGUUGGUAAGGUAACGGCUUACCAAGGCAACGAUGCGUAGCCGACCUGAGAGGGUGAUCGGCCACACUGGAACUGAGACACGGUCCAGACUCCUACGGGAGGCAGCAGUAGGGAAUCUUCCGCAAUGGGCGAAAGCCUGACGGAGCAACGCCGCGUGAGUGAAGAAGGUCUUCGAAUCGUAAAACUCUGUUAUUAGGGAAGAACAAAUGUGUAAGUAACUAUGCACGUCUUGACGGUACCUAAUCAGAAAGCCACGGCUAACUACGUG
Molecule: ribosomal RNA, 497 nt
Filed under: uncultured bacterium
Lineage: Bacteria
Description: partial 16S ribosomal RNA
Rfam family: Bacterial small subunit ribosomal RNA
Source: RNAcentral